Molecule: unclassified non-coding RNA, 348 nt
Filed under: soil metagenome
Description: partial contains 5.8S ribosomal RNA, internal transcribed spacer 2, and large subunit ribosomal RNA
Rfam family: 5.8S ribosomal RNA (bases 1-120)
Source: RNAcentral
GAUGAAGAACGCAGCGAAAUGCGAUAAGUAAUGUGAAUUGCAGAAUUCAGUGAAUCAUCGAAUCUUUGAACGCACAUUGCGCCCGCCAGUAUUCUGGCGGGCAUGCCUGUCUGAGCGUCAUUUCAACCCUCAUGCCCCUAGGGCGUGGUGUUGGGGAUCGGCCAAAGCUCGCGAGGGACGGCCGGCCCCCAAAUCUAGUGGCGGACCCGUCGUGGCCUCCUCUGCGAAGUAGUGAUAUUCCGCAUCGGAGAGCGAUGAGCCCCUGCCGUUAAACCCCCAACUUUCCAAGGUUGACCUCAGAUCAGGUAGGAAUACCCGCUGAACUUAAGCAUAUCAAUAAGCGGGGGA